UUGAGGAGGUCUGGGAGGCGACCGGGAUGGAGGCUUUCUGCAGAUUCACACAUGCUUGGCCCAGUAUGGUGUCCUGCUCCCAAGCCAGCAAGUGGCAAGUGACAGGGCUGUAUGUACCACGGGAAUCUUUACAAAGCAGGGUGCCCGCAACACUGUACCCCACCUCAUUGUCCGUGAGAGAACAACCUCUCUCCCAGCCCGUGAUGGGCGGGGCCAGACCCAGCCGCCUCCCACUUGGGUGCUCCCAGAACCAUCCUAUGCUAACUACUGGUCUGGGCUGCGUGUUUGACUGAAAAUGUCAUGUUUCCGCCUAUGGUGAUGGCCACAGACGGAGGGAGCCUUUCAGCCUGGGUUCCUGGGAAAAGGAGGAGAAGGACAUUAAUUGGUACUGUCUGUCAGGUUUCCUUCUUAUAACCAAGAAGCCAAGAAACCCACUCGUGAAGAGGAAGGCCCUACCAUGGCUGCGGGUGACACGUGCCUUCGGACCUAAAAGACUCAUCUCUCCCAGCAUCGUCACCCUACAGACCAAGCUGUCACCACGUGAGCCUUAGGUGACAUUUAACAUCCAGAAUUUCUCUGCUUAGAGGGAGCAGAGCUGGGUGACUUCCCAAAGAGACAUGACAGCUGAGAGGACGUGGGACCACAAACAAUGUCGACCCGAGGUACGACACAGUCUGAUUGGGACCAACAUGGUCUCAUUCCAAAGUGUUUUGAGUCAGCAAUGAGGUAAACUUUUUGUUUGUUUUUCUGUUUGUUUUGCUUGUUUUUCUGUUUGUUUUGCUUUUUGUAUUUGAAUCAGGGACCAAGUCCUGGUCAGCGUUCCUUGUAGCUGUCUUAGGAACCCAAGAAGAGAAUCUGGCUGAGGAAAAACGCCGACAUUAAAGCCAUAAAACUGGAUAUGAAUGAACUUCCGGAUCAAGCUGUACCUAAAAGUCUGGCUUUCCAGUACCGUGUGACAUUAAAGACCCCUUGGGAGUUGAGCAGGGUUUUCUAAACCUG
Non-coding RNA from Rattus norvegicus (Norway rat), 999 nucleotides. Lineage: Eukaryota; Metazoa; Chordata; Mammalia; Rodentia; Muridae. The record is from RefSeq and is a predicted model, not a curated record.